ACUUCCUUCGUCACUUUGUAUAUCUUUUUUGCUACCUCGUGAGGCUUUUGUUUGCUCAGAGCUCUUGUUUAUUCAUUGCUUCUGCUUACUCAUGAAGUCUGAAUACUGCCUUCUCUCUGUGUCUUUCAGCUUAUGCUUUCACUGAUCAUCUUUUCUUAUUUCUCCAGUUCUGAUUCCUGAAAGAGAAAAUCAUUGGCACAGUUAAUUGCCAUCUUCUUGAGCGAAACUUCCAUGCCAGGAUACUCUAUAGGCUCAUGUCCAGCCUAUUGAUCAGCUGCUCCUAGGAAUUUAUUCUAAAGAAGGAAGUACUGGUGUAUGCAAGCAAAACUAUGUACCAAGCAGUUCAUAAAUGAAUUGCCUCGCUCUUCUUCCAGUCACACAAUACCCCAAAUCUCUGUGGACCCUGAAUGAGAGAUUUCGAGCGGCACACUGCAUCACCUGUAGUCGCAGGCGUCGUCUCGAACGAUUUCAGGUGUAUCAGCCGAGCGGUGAGAAACUGGAGGGAAUCGGCAAU
This is a long non-coding RNA of Neofelis nebulosa (Clouded leopard), 514 nucleotides long. RefSeq lists it as uncharacterized. The record is from RefSeq and is a predicted model, not a curated record. Lineage: Eukaryota; Metazoa; Chordata; Mammalia; Carnivora; Felidae. The transcript is spliced from 3 exons.